UUUAAGAAGAGAUUGUACAACCAUUUGUCUGAAAUAGUAUAGGGUUUCCUGCCUAAGCAGGGGGCUGGACUAGAAGACCUCCAAGGUCCCUUCCAACUCUGUUAUUCUGUUUAUCC
Non-coding RNA from Notechis scutatus (mainland tiger snake), 116 nucleotides. Lineage: Eukaryota; Metazoa; Chordata; Lepidosauria; Squamata; Elapidae. The record is from RefSeq and is a predicted model, not a curated record.